RNAcentral lists this long non-coding RNA (236 nucleotides) under Homo sapiens (human). RNAcentral describes it as "HSALNT0027496". Lineage: Eukaryota; Metazoa; Chordata; Mammalia; Primates; Hominidae. The record is from RNAcentral.
GGGAGAGAGAAGCAAUAAACCAGUGGAAAACAGGCAGGUAAAGAUGGGUGCAUGCAUUAGUGUGUGUUUGUAUGGGGUCAGUUUAGGUCAUGAAGAAAGGCCUCUGUGAAUAGGAGACCUGGACCCUGAGAAGGAUUCAGCCUUGUGAUGAUCUGAGGAAUGAGGACAGGUGGGGCCCUGGGGAGAGAGGGAGGCCAGGUGAGUGCUGUGAGGUGGAGGAGCAGUGAGUGUCCCAG